CACCUAGCUUAAGUCCUGCUGGACUGGUUUAUAAGUCAGUCUGAGACACUGUAAACAGCAGUUAUAACUUUAAAGACCCAUUGAGAGGCUACUGCUCGUAAAUAAAAAGAAAAUGAAAGCUCAUAUUGUGCUCCUGAUCCUUGUUCUUGUGGUCGGACUAACAGUGAUGCCUGCUUAUCCAAAUGAGGACUCUAAAGUCAUUCCAGAUUACAUAGCCCUACCCGAGCUAGAAAGAGAUGAAACUUUGAAGCCAUUUACACCAGAAAACGCAGGAGGGAAACCUGAUUGAUCCAUGACAGAAAAGAGAGGUUUUCAAAAGCUUCUUAUAAAUGUGGCUCCCACCCAAGGCAUGCUGAAUAAACAAACAUGGCAAUCAUACAAAUAAUGCUAAUGCAAAUAUUUUGUGUUAUAUUAUAUACAGAAAAAUAAUAAAGUUCAACUUGGAUUUA
Neolamprologus brichardi is the source of this 449-nucleotide long non-coding RNA. RefSeq lists it as uncharacterized. Lineage: Eukaryota; Metazoa; Chordata; Actinopteri; Cichliformes; Cichlidae. The record is from RefSeq and is a predicted model, not a curated record.